CCUACGGGUGGCAGCAGUGAGGAAUAUUGGUCAAUGGUCGGGAGACUGAACCAGCCAAGCCGCGUGAGUGAGGAAGGUACAGAGUAUCGUAAACCUCUUUUGUCAGGGAACAAAGGCGGGGACGUGUCCCCGGAUGAGUGUACCUGAAGAAAAAGCAUCGGCUAACUCCGUGCCAGCAGCCGCGGUAAUACGGAGGAUGCGAGCGUUAUCCGGAUUUAUUGGGUUUAAGGGGUGCGCAGGCGGUCUGUUAAGUCAGCGGGUAAAGGCCGGGGCGCAACCCGGGACCGGCGGUUGAAACUGGCAGUCUCGAGUUGGAGAGAGGUAGGCGGAAUGCGCGGUGUAGCGGUGAAAUGCAUAGAUAUCGCGAAGAACUCCGAUUGCGAAGGCAGCAUGCUGGACCCACACUGACGCUGAGGUACGAAAGCGUGGGUAUCGAACAGGAUUAGAUACCCGUGUAGUC
This 460-nucleotide ribosomal RNA is filed under the name uncultured bacterium. Its description in RNAcentral is "partial 16S ribosomal RNA". It matches the Rfam family "Bacterial small subunit ribosomal RNA", at positions 338 to 795 of the family's 1533-position model. The record is from RNAcentral.